Molecule: long non-coding RNA, 343 nt
Organism: Hylaeus anthracinus
Lineage: Eukaryota; Metazoa; Arthropoda; Insecta; Hymenoptera; Colletidae
Exons: 3
Source: RefSeq, a predicted model, not a curated record
UUUGUUCGUUCCAUCCUAUGAAGGCUUUUCGACGAUGAUGAGAUCAUCGUUUUCAUAUUUUACUGUAUUAUAUUCCGUUCAGACUAAUGGUUAGGAACAACAGUCGUGGCGUUAGUUUUCAUAGAGUAGGGGCACUCAGAGUCAUCCACGAUUAUAGAAUUCAUUUGAUUUAAUAUGGAAUAUCUUGACGAAGACUCAUCUCCAGAUAUACGUCGACCACUCUCCAAACACGUUUCAUGAAGUGUACGUGGAGUAUGUGAUAUGUUAUCAUAGAGGAUGUGCAGAAGAAGUACAUUUCUUUAAAAAUGUGUUAAUAAUUCAGGUGGGGCACGCCAUGGUAUGC